Molecule: ribosomal RNA, 347 nt
Filed under: uncultured bacterium
Lineage: Bacteria
Description: bacterial SSU rRNA
Rfam family: Bacterial small subunit ribosomal RNA
Source: RNAcentral
GGGCCCGCACAAGCGGUGGAGUAUGUGGUUUAAUUCGAUGCAACGCGAAGAACCUUACCAGGGUUUGACAUCCUGCGAAUUUCUGGGAAACCGGAAAGUGCCUUCGGGAGCGCAGUGACAGGUGGUGCAUGGCUGUCGUCAGCUCGUGUCGUGAGAUGUUGGGUUAAGUCCCGCAACGAGCGCAACCCACGUCUUUAGUUGCCAGCAUUUAGUUGGGCACUCUAGAGAGACCGCCGGUGAUAAACCGGAGGAAGGUGUGGAUGACGUCAAGUCAUCAUGCCCCUUACAUCCUGGGCUACACACGUACUACAAUGGUAGUGACAAUGGGUUAAUCCCAAAAAAGCUAU